Molecule: long non-coding RNA, 3990 nt
Organism: Bombyx mori (domestic silkworm)
Lineage: Eukaryota; Metazoa; Arthropoda; Insecta; Lepidoptera; Bombycidae
Exons: 2
Source: RefSeq, a predicted model, not a curated record
CAAAUGUCGUUUUAACCAAAAUAAAAACUAUAAAUGAGAAAAUAAACCGUAAAAAGAGCAUUUUUAUAAUUUUGGUUUAAAAAUCGAUUCUUUGAUUAAUAAAAUUUAUCUCAGAUCGUGAACCUACCUUAAGGUUCAACGAUGCAAAUGUCAAUAUGUCGUUUGUUACGGUCGGCAAUGGUUUUUCAUUGAAUCAGUUUACUGAGUUUGGUACCUUACCUACUGGUGAAUUCUUUUAUCCGUAUUUUGCAUAGUUCAAAUCAGGUAAUAUAAACUUUUUUGCGUAAGCGGUGUGAGUGCUGAUUCGAGAUAAUAUGAUUGUAACCUUCGGAAGCGACAGGAAAUUAAUUGCAUGAUUUUUGUGUCGUUUCAUCUCAAGUAAAUAAACUUAGGCAACUUAUUAAUACUUUAAAUUUUAUUAAAUAUCAAUAAUAACAAUAAAAUUGUUUUCAAAUGAAGCAUUAGUUUAAAAGCGAUAAGCAUAAGCUUGAUGAGCAUUUUUUGCUUUAUCCUAGUUUUUACUUACGAUUAAUAUUUACGACGACGAAUAUAAUAAUUCAAUAGCUUAGAGUAAAAAGCAACAUUAAGCUCUGGCUUAUUUAUAAUAAUAUUAUUAUAACCUCAUAUUAUGUGACCUUCUUAAAAUAAUAGAUAACGAAACAAAGCCACAAAAAAAAACAAAAACACAUAAUAUCUACUUAAGUAGGAAAAUUACAUUAAUGUAAUUAAAUUUAAGAUUUACAUUUCAACAUUACCUACAUAAACUUGAACAAUAAAAAUUGAGAAACCAUUUUAUUAUUCUGUAACGAUUAUAAAAGGAAGCCACUGAAAAUCAAAUAUAAAAAAGGUACCAUGUCAUAAAUGUGAAAUAAAUUAUAUAAUAUAUUUUUUUCUAUUUAUUUCACUGUUUGUACAGAAUACGAAAUUUUCAAAUUCAAAUAGGUUUUUGUAAGAACUGAGGAAUUUGAUAUAUUGAUUUCAUUAAAAUGGUUUAUUAAACCAACGCUAUUGUUUCUGUUCUGAAAACGUGUCCUUAAAUGAUGACUUAAAACUUGCGCAAAAACUUUAUUAAACGAAAUAUUCACUUUAGCACAAUUAAAUGCACUCGGAGUACCAAAACGAUGUAAUAAGAGUUACUACUCAAACACAGGAAACAUUAAACAAUUUUUGUUUAUUUUUUAUCACAAUGCUCAGUAAUAACUAAGUACUUACUUACUAUAAAUGGAUUUUAGCUAAUAAAGUAUGAUCAACUUCUAAGUGAUUUUUAAAUUAAAUGUAAGUAUAGAUUAGAUCUCUAGAUUAGAUAUAUAGAUAUCAUUCCAAGCACUUUGAAAUUCUGAAAAAAAAUAAUUGAAACGAAUAUUCAUUAAAAUUAAUUGGUUCAACGCAAUUUUCACGCGAAAACAGAUUUUUCAUUUUCUAUCUCUGUCAAACAGAUACGAGCAUAUCUUUGACUCAGCACUUAUCGAAAUUCGUUACCUUGUCGCUAAUGGACAUCGCCGUCACUAAUGCGGACCAAGCCGCUUAUUAUUUUUCUGGACUCGUUUCUUAUAUAAUUCGAAUAUGAACACUUCAUAGAGUUACGAAGCAUGAAGGAGAGGAGUUCAUUCCAGAGACAAGUUUUUCAUAGCAAAAAUAAUCAUUGGAGGUUCAUCGUCGGAAACCUCAAUGGUGGUGGUGAAAAUCCGUUUCGCUUGCGAUUUGUGGAGUCAUCUCAAUACUUCCUCAGACCACUUUUAAUGAAAUUUAUUACGUAGAUUUCAAUUAAUGACAAUAAUCGAAUAUCAGCGAGACUGACCAUAUUGGCUUUGUGAAGAAUAAGUCUUCGAACGGAUAAGAAGUUCUUAAUCUUUUUCUUUGUAGAGGUAAUUCCAAUAUUUUCAAAGAAAGCUUAGCUUUACUGUUCAAAUUAAUACGAUAUUAUACGAAAUUAAUACGACACCGAGCAAAAAAUCACCUCUGAAAAAGAAAUAUUCUAUUAAAAUUGGACAGCAGCAGAAUUCGUGUGGUCUAUUUUAUCAUUUAAUGCAAGGUGUGUUAAGAUAUGGUGAUUAAUGUUGUAUGGUUAAGGUUUGUUAUAUACAAGGUGAAGGUAUAAAUAACAGUAUUUAAAAUUAUAGCACCAUAAAAACUCAUUUCAAUUCCACACAUUUUGAGACCUAGCCCUAAUAUUUGGUCACUUUAUAAUAUAAUACAGGCUUCGCGAUAUUCUCUUGAUCAGAACGACAGAUACGUUACAGGAGUGGAAUGAAAAAUGUUGAUUUGAUGUGAAAUUAUAAUAAAAAUAAUAUAAUGAAACGAGAUAAAACGAAAUUAAAUAUUAUUCGAGUUAAAAUUUGGUGGGAAUUUACCGACACUUAUCAGGUAUUUUUGGACGUACCCAAGAAGCCCUGUUCAGCAACAUUAUUUGUAUUUCAUUUUCCAUUAAAAUUACAGUUACAGAUACUAAUCCUUUAAUAAGCUCGGUUAGGCCUGAAGAAACACCUAAUUGGCAAAAUAAAGUAAUCAAAAUAACAUCGGUCCUUCUAUUCCUACAAAAAUGCCUACGUGGAAAGAACGUGGUAAUAUUACGAAAAUUCGUUGACUAGCGUAUUACUGUUAUUUGUAUGGAUUUAUCUGUAUCGUCGAGAGAAAAAUAUUUGGCAAUAAAUGUUUCAUUUUAAGUACCUGGGACCAUAAUUGAGGACCGUUAUCACGCAGUCUCAAGAAAGCAAGUAGGUAGGUACAAACCAGUAGUACUGCUUCACCAGAUGUUCCAUGUUUGGUAGAGACCAUACUGGCUGGUCAAAGUAGUCUAGCCGGUUUUUUCUGGAGCAAUUUGAGUUGCAUUUCUCAACAAAUCACGUGUUUUAAAUAAUAUAGGGAGUGUGAAAACAACAAGAAAUUCCGUUGUACUUUUUUUUUCUAGUAGAUGAACAGAAGGCCAUCGUGUGAUCAGGUCCAAGUAUGUAUGGGAUGAAGGCUACCUUAGUAUUCACACUGGAGAGUGUGAUUAUUUCGGAGCUAAAUAAAACCACCACGAACAGUACAACAAAAUUAUACUUUAUUUCUUUUAACGUCUUAUAUUUUAUAUAGUAACAUAUAAAUAGUUUUAUUAAUAGCAACUUUAUAGCAUAUAAAGAUACAAAUAACCAAAAAAAUAACCAAAAUACGCGAAUAUACUUUGUGCGCUAAUAUAUUUCAAAUAGUUGUAAUUAUUCAUUAUUUAGAUAUUUAUUCAUAAGUGCUCAUGUUUCAAAAAGGCUCCGAGUUUUCUGUUGCUUUCACAAACAGAUAUCUUAUAAAUAAUUUAAUAACAUCAUGUUAGUUCUCAUAUUAUUAUGUUCAACAAUGUGUUUAUACUAUCUUUGUUAGUUCUAAUGUUUAGAUUAUAUACUAGUCUAUUAUUAGGUCCUAAAAUACUAAUGAAUUAGUAAGUUGUUCCAAUGUCACCUUUUCUGAUCGUCCCGAUCGUCCAGUAAACAAUAGUAAAUAGUAUUAAUUUUAUUUGUAUUAAAUGAAUUUAUUACAAAUAAUGAUAUGUGAUUACUUAUUCGAUUAAAUUAUUUAACAUGAAAGUAACAAUUUAAAUAUCACAUAAUAUUCGUAGAAAUAUUUAUUACGAUUAUAGUUUUAAUAUCUUUAAAUGGUCCAUUAUUAAGCGCAUUAUAUAUCACGUGUCUGUCUAAAUACCUAUUAUUGUGCAGUGCUUAUGAAGGCUUCGUUUAUUAUAUUCCAUUUUGUACCGUUCCAUUUAUUCCUCUUUUUAGAGGAAUCAAUUUACCCUACGCGUAUGGUGAGUUGCAGUUUUUAGGUGACACGUGGCGCAACAGUGAGUUAUACAUCAUUUUAUUCAGUGUUAUUCAUUAAGAAUACAAGUACGCAUGAGCGCAUCGAUCACAGAGUACGGGUCACAGUUUGAAGCCGGUCGACGAUCUUCCAAAUAACCCUUCUUAUCUUCAGCGACAGAGCGAGGUAUUCUGAUACUGCUACCACGAUUAGCCACGCCUG